AAAAAGGCAAACUAUAGAUUUUCGUGUCCAACUUUAACUAUCCGUCUUAUAUGAAAUUUUUUUAUAAUUCGUAUUUUUAUUGGUGUUAGAUGAUAAAACAUGAUUAAUAUUUUAUGCGUGACUUGUCUUUUUAAUUUUUUUCAUAAUUUUUUCAAAUAAGACGGACGGUCAAAUGUUGGCCACGAAAAUCAGGGUUUGUCUUUUU
Molecule: non-coding RNA, 205 nt
Organism: Oryza glumipatula
Lineage: Eukaryota; Viridiplantae; Streptophyta; Magnoliopsida; Poales; Poaceae
Source: Rfam